RNAcentral lists this ribosomal RNA (272 nucleotides) under uncultured bacterium. Its description in RNAcentral is "partial 16S ribosomal RNA". It matches the Rfam family "Bacterial small subunit ribosomal RNA", at positions 1228 to 1500 of the family's 1533-position model. The record is from RNAcentral.
CAAUGGCGUAACAAAGGGAAGCGAGACGGUGACGUUAAGCAAAUCCCAGAAAUAACGUCCCAGUUCGGAUUGUAGUCUGCAACCCGACUACAUGAAGCUGGAAUCGCUAGUAAUCGCGAAUCAGAAUGUCGCGGUGAAUACGUUCCCGGGUCUUGUACACACCGCCCGUCACACCAUGGGAGUCGGAAAUGCCCGAAGUCAGUGACCCAACCGUAAGGAGGGAGCCGCCGAAGGUGGAGCCGGUAACUGGGGUGAAGUCGUAACAAGGUACC